Molecule: ribosomal RNA, 1440 nt
Filed under: uncultured organism
Description: partial small subunit ribosomal RNA
Rfam family: Bacterial small subunit ribosomal RNA
Source: RNAcentral
UCUUGACGAACGCUGGCGGCGUGCUUAACACAUGCAAGUCGAACGGAAAGGCCCUGCUUUUGUGGGGUGCUCGAGUGGCGAACGGGUGAGUAACACGUGAGUAACCUGCCCUUGACUUUGGGAUAACUUCAGGAAACUGGGGCUAAUACCGGAUAGGAGCUCCUGCUGCAUGGUGGGGGUUGGAAAGUUUCGGCGGUUGGGGAUGGACUCGCGGCUUAUCAGCUUGUUGGUGGGGUAGUGGCUUACCAAGGCUUUGACGGGUAGCCGGCCUGAGAGGGUGACCGGCCACAUUGGGACUGAGAUACGGCCCAGACUCCUACGGGAGGCAGCAGUGGGGAAUAUUGCACAAUGGGCGGAAGCCUGAUGCAGCAACGCCGCGUGCGGGAUGACGGCCUUCGGGUUGUAAACCGCUUUCGCCUGUGACGAAGCGUGAGUGACGGUAAUGGGUAAAGAAGCACCGGCUAACUACGUGCCAGCAGCCGCGGUGAUACGUAGGGUGCGAGCGUUGUCCGGAUUUAUUGGGCGUAAAGGGCUCGUAGGUGGUUGAUCGCGUCGGAAGUGUAAUCUUGGGGCUUAACCCUGAGCGUGCUUUCGAUACGGGUUGACUUGAGGAAGGUAGGGGAGAAUGGAAUUCCUGGUGGAGCGGUGGAAUGCGCAGAUAUCAGGAGGAACACCAGUGGCGAAGGCGGUUCUCUGGGCCUUUCCUGACGCUGAGGAGCGAAAGCGUGGGGAGCGAACAGGCUUAGAUACCCUGGUAGUCCACGCUGUAAACGGUGGGUACUAGGUGUGGGGUCCAUUCCACGGGUUCCGUGCCGUAGCUAACGCUUUAAGUACCCCGCCUGGGGAGUACGGCCGCAAGGCUAAAACUCAAAGGAAUUGACGGGGCCCCGCACAAGCGGCGGAGCAUGCGGAUUAAUUCGAUGCAACGCGUAGAACCUUACCUGGGUUUGACAUGGAUCGGGAGUGCUCAGAGAUGGGUGUGCCUCUUUUGGGGUCGGUUCACAGGUGGUGCAUGGCUGUCGUCAGCUCGUGUCGUGAGAUGUUGGGUUAAGUCCCGCAACGAGCGCAACCCUUGUUCACUGUUGCCAGCACGUUAUGGUGGGGACUCAGUGGAGACCGCCGGGGUCAACUCGGAGGAAGGUGGGGAUGACGUCAAGUCAUCAUGCCCCUUAUGUCCAGGGCUUCACGCAUGCUACAAUGGCUGGUACAGAGAGUGGCGAGCCUGUGAGGGUGAGCGAAUCUCGGAAAGCCGGUCUCAGUUCGGAUUGGGGUCUGCAACUCGACCUCAUGAAGUCGGAGUCGCUAGUAAUCGCAGAUCAGCAACGCUGCGGUGAAUACGUUCCCGGGGCUUGUACACACCGCCCGUCAAGUCAUGAAAGUUGGUAACACCCGAAGCCGGUGGCCUAACCGUUGUGGAGGAGCCGUCGAAGGUGGGACUGG